GACGAACGCUGGCGGCGUGCUUAACACAUGCCAGUCGAACGGAAAGGCCCUGCUUUUGUGGGGUGCUCGAGUGGCGAACGGGUGAGUAACACGUGAGUAACCUGCCCUUGACUUUGGGAUAACUUCAGGAAACUGGGGCUAAUACCGGAUAGGAGCUCCUGCUGCAUGGGGGGGGUUGGAAAGUUUCGGCGGUUGGGGAUGGACUCGCGGCUUAUCAGCUUGUUGGUGGGGUAGUGGCUUACCAAGGCUUUGAGGGAUAGCCGGCCCGAGAGGGUGACCGGCCACCUGGGGACUGAGAUACGGACCAGACUCCUACGGGAGGCAGCAGUGGAGAAUAUUGCACAAUGGGCGGAAGCCUGAUGCAGCAACGCCGCGUGCGGGAUGACGGCCUUCGGGUUGUAAACCGCUUUCGCCUGUGACGAAGCGUGAGUGACGGUAAUGGGUAAAGAAGCACCGGCUAACUACGUG
Molecule: ribosomal RNA, 468 nt
Filed under: uncultured bacterium
Lineage: Bacteria
Description: partial 16S ribosomal RNA
Rfam family: Bacterial small subunit ribosomal RNA
Source: RNAcentral